This 2533-nucleotide long non-coding RNA is filed under the name Pan troglodytes (chimpanzee). Its description in RNAcentral is "long non-coding RNA NONPTRT017335". The record is from RNAcentral. Lineage: Eukaryota; Metazoa; Chordata; Mammalia; Primates; Hominidae.
UCCUAUGCGGCCAAUGAAUCGUUCUGAUAAGAAAUCACCAUGGAUAUGACAGGUGUAUGAAGAAUGGCUAGUAUUACUAAUUAAUGGCAAGGAGCUCUGGUUGUGAACAUUUUCCAAAAUUCCAUACAUAAGGGAAGUUUGCAAACAUUUUCCAAAAUUCUAUCCGUAUUCUAUUUUAGGAAAAAUGACUGUGGGACUUUCUUUCCCCAGCUGUUUUGAGGCUUUAAAAUUUAUCUUAGAACCUCUUGGAACUAUCCCAUCGGAAUAACUGGAAGACAGAUAAAACAUUAGGCAGUUUAUUGAUUUUAUUGGACGUGGAGUUUUGUCAGAACCAGCAUUUACUGUACUUCUCAUAGCUGUAAGCAAAGCAUUAGAAUUCAGCAACCUAAUGCUUUUCUUUUCUCUGCCAAGCGGGGUCGUGAAAUGGGAGAGAAAGCCUCCUUGCCUCUGUUCUUUGCAAACAGCAUGUAUUUGGGGCAGUAGAGCAAAACAUCUGAUCGCUGCUCUAAGUGUUUGCAAACUUUUGGGCACUGGAGGGGACAUGCAUAUGAGAUGGAACAGGGCAUAGAUAAAAGAAUUCCUGCAUUACCCACCAUCCUGCCCAAAGAAACCACACGACUUCCAUGGCAGUCCCAGACUACAGAAAGGGAAAACACAGCAAGCGCCUGCAUUCUCUUCAUUUAGGCCCCAAGUCAUCCAAAAAUUGCCUACCACAGCAGUAGAUGAGUUCACAUUUUAAUCAAAACAGGAUUGCAUAGAAACAUACGUCCACGUGAAAACCAGUACCCAAUGUUUAUGGUGGCUUUCUUUUUAAUUGCUAAAAACUGGUAACAACCUAAAUGUCCAUCGUCAGAGGAAGCGAUGAACAAACUGCGGUGCAUUCACACAAUAGCGGUGCUACACAGCAGCGAAGAGGAGCAGCCGACUGACACGCACAACUCGGAUCUCAGGAGCAUCGCGCCGAGCUGGAGAAGCCAGACACGAGCCGCUGCACACCGUAUGAUUCCAUGGCAUUCUGGGAAAGGCAAAACUCCAAGCACAGAGAACGCAUGAGUUGUUGCCCGGGUUUGGGGUUCCAGGAAGAGGAUGGAUUACUAAGAAGCACAGGGGAAUGUUUUGGGGUGAUGAAAAUGUUCUAUGUCUUGUCUUUUUCUUUUCUUUUUGUGAAACGGAGUUUCACUCUUGUCGCCCAUGCUGGAGAGCAAUGGUGUGAUCUCGGCUUACUGCAACCUCCACCUCCCAGGUUCAAGCAAUUCUCCAGCCUCAGCCUCUUGAAUAACAGAUUACAGGCACAUGGCUCCCCGCCCAGCUAAUUUUUGUAUUUUUAGUAGAGACGGGUUUUCACCAUUUUGGUCAGGCUGGUCUUGAACUCCUGACCUCAGGUGAUCCGCCCACCUCAGCCUCCCAAAGUGCUGGGAUUACAGGCAUGAGGCACCACAUUCGGCCAAAGUUCUAUGUCUGGUCACAGCCAUUUACAUUAAUCAGAAUUCACAGAACCAUCCAUCUUGAAGUGGUAAAUUUGCUGCAUAGAAAUUAUACCUCAAAGACCAGACGUUCAAAAAUGCCUUUGUGUUUUGUAAGCUUCAACACUUGCCCAGUGGGAACCACAAAAGCGUUGCCCAAUUUGUUGAAAGCAUUGCUGUUAUAACUUCAACAUGUGGGGAGAAGUUAUGUUUUCAUACUGUCUUUGUCUGCUCUGGCCACCGUUACAAAACACCAUAGACUGGGUGGAUUGAUCAACACACAUUUCUUUCCCACAGUGGAGGCUGGAAGUCCCCAAGACCCAGGUUCCUGGGGAGGGCUUUCUUCCUAGCCUGCAGGUGACCAACAUCUGCUGUGUCCUCUUGUGACUCUUCCUCAGUUCCUGUGCCAGAGGGGUCGGGGGACAAGUGGGCGUCCAUCUUAUAAGUGUCCUCAUAAGGCCACCAUCCUGUCGACCAGGGCACCACCCUAUACCUCAGUCAACCUUAAUGACUUCCUUGGUGGCCCCCUGUCCCGUUGCAGCCAGGGUUAAGCUUCAGCGUGCAAAGUGAAAGGCCACACAAAUCUUUGUCCGUAACAAAUGCCCAGUGGACAGGACACUCGGGUGCCCUGAGGCUGCAGGAGCUGAGGGUGAUCUUGCUCAGGUACUUCUGCUGGUACCUGCUGUAUGGGAAAAAGUCUGUUCCUCCUGGCUGGUGUCAGAAGUAACCAGGCUGAAGCCAUGCUCUGAAAGAACCUGUGCAGGGAGAGAAAGACCUGUUUGAGACCGACCUGAAAGCUCUCCGAGGGGAAAGAGCAGGGGGUUCCAAUGAUUCCUGUAGUUUACUGAGCUCUUGAAAAGAAGCAACCGUUUUUCCUGACCUUGACACUCAAGCAUUUUUGAUGGUUCUAGAAGUACCCAUUUUCAGCACAUUGGUGGUAUUAUUCCAACAUCUUUUAGCUUCCCUUGCUGCCGUUGAGAAGUCUGUUGAUUUGAUACUCUGCUGUAAGUAAUCCAUUUUUUCCUCACAUAUGCUAAUUUUGAGAUCUUCUCUGCCUUUAUUGUUCUGCC